CUGAGGAUCGAGCCCGAAACCCCUUGGUUCCUAGGUCGAUGCUCAGCCACUGAGCCACACUGGCCAGGCCAGACUCUGUUUCAAUCAAGUGUGACCAUGUAACAAACGUCCUAUAGCACAACUGAAGAGGGAGACCAUCUUGCCUCCAUGAUUUGAAGCAUGAAGAUAAAAGCUUCACUGUGAGGACGGUGGAGCAAAAUGAUGGAAGGGGCCCUAGCCUGCCUUCAGGCUUCUUGUUAUGGGAGGAAAACAAAAUGCUGUUAUCAGCUUAAGCUACGGAGAUAGGCUUCUACUUCAUGUAGCUAAUUAUAUCACAAUUCAUACACUAUACAUAAAAUUGGUAAAAGUGUUCAUUUUCAAGGCUUAAUCCAAGAGACUCAUGAUACCUAACAAUAAAAUCUCAAAAAGAAGUAUCGUUCUUUAA
Molecule: long non-coding RNA, 424 nt
Organism: Miniopterus natalensis
Lineage: Eukaryota; Metazoa; Chordata; Mammalia; Chiroptera; Miniopteridae
Source: RefSeq, a predicted model, not a curated record